RNAcentral lists this ribosomal RNA (427 nucleotides) under uncultured bacterium. RNAcentral's name for it is "SSU rRNA". It matches the Rfam family "Bacterial small subunit ribosomal RNA", at positions 26 to 376 of the family's 1533-position model. The record is from RNAcentral.
AGGAUGAACGCUGGCGGCGUGCCUAAUACAUGCAAGUCGAGCGGUAAGGCUCUGCACUUAGUAUUGGAUUGCAGCAACUCUAGGGUUGCUACAUCGGACUGACUCAAACCUGGCUAGGAAUGAGAAGGGACGGGAAGAUCAAAUAUUGGGUGUAGAGUACACGAGCGGCGGACGGCUGAGUAACACGUAGGAACGUACCCCAAACUGAGGGAUAAGCACCAGAAAUGGUGUCUAAUACCGCAUGUGCUCCAAGGAGUAAAGCUUCGGCGGUUUGGGAACGGCCUGCGUAUGAUUAGUUUGUUGGUGAGGUAAUGGCUUACCAAGACUACGAUCAUUAGCUGGUCUGAGAGGAUGACCAGCCAGACUGGAACUGAGAACGGUCCAGACUCCUACGGGAGGCAGCAGUAGGGAAUUUUCCACAAUGGAC